Molecule: transfer RNA, 62 nt
Filed under: Aphaena discolor nigrotibiata
Lineage: Eukaryota; Metazoa; Arthropoda; Insecta; Hemiptera; Fulgoridae
Description: tRNA-Asn
Source: RNAcentral
UUAACUGAAGCUAAAAAGAAGCUUUUCACUGUUAAUGAAAAAAAUGAUAAAAUCCAGUUAAA